This 692-nucleotide long non-coding RNA is filed under the name Rattus norvegicus (Norway rat). RNAcentral's name for it is "long non-coding RNA NONRATT019321". Lineage: Eukaryota; Metazoa; Chordata; Mammalia; Rodentia; Muridae. The record is from RNAcentral.
AACUCAAGGAGACCUGGCGCCCCCUUCUGGUCUCCACAGGCAUCUACACACGUGCGGCACAAAUAUACACAAACAUGAUACCACACACAUGUGAAAAACACUAAUCUCUUUAAAUUUUCCUACAGCUGGAGUAAUGGGUCACCCGUGAUAUUUCAGAACUGGGACAAAGGAAGGAAAGGAAGAAUGGAUAGCCAGAGAAAGCGAUGCGUCUUCAUGUCUGCUAUAACAGGGCUCUGGGGCACUGAGAAUUGCUCUGUUCCUAUGCCCAGCAUCUGUAAGCGAGUGAAAAUAUGGGUCAUCGAGAAGGAGAAGCCGCCAACACAGCAUGGCACGUGCCCCAAAGGUCCCCAAGGACCCACGGGAGCUGAAGACCUGGACAGGUGCUCAGGAAUUCUGUGCUGCCAAGGGUGGGACGCUGGUCUCCAUCGAAAGUGAACUGGAACAAGCUUUCAUUACUGUGAAUCUUUUCGGCCAGACCACGAAUGUAUGGAUAGGGUUACAAAGUGACAAUCAUGAGAAUUGGGUAAAUGGGAAGCCUGUGGUGUAUUCUAACUGGUCUCCAUCUGAUGUAAUAAAUAUCCCCAAUUAUAACACCACUGAAGUUCAAAAGCGUGCUCCACUCUGUGCCCUGAUGUCAAGUAAUCCUAAUUUCCAUUUUACUGGAAAAUGGUAUUUCGAUGACUGUGGGAAAA